Molecule: ribosomal RNA, 604 nt
Filed under: uncultured bacterium
Lineage: Bacteria
Description: partial 16S ribosomal RNA
Rfam family: Bacterial small subunit ribosomal RNA (bases 72-514)
Source: RNAcentral
ANGUAUGUUCAUCCGAGUACGCAUAAUUCCGCCUGGAGUCGGUCCAAAUUAAACCAAAGAAUUNCGGGGCCCGCNCAACGGUGANNNUGUGUUUAUUUGACGCAACGCGCAGACCUUACNUGUCUUACAUCCCGAGAUCCNUAAGAAAUUAGGGAGGCCUCUUGAGAGUCGGUGACAGGUGCUGCAUGGCUGUGUCAGCUCGUGUCGUGAGAUGUUGGGUUAAGUCCCGCAACGAGCGCAACCCUUGUCUUUAGUUGCCAUCAUUAAGUUGGGCACUCUAAAGAGGCUGCCGGUGUCAAACCGGAGGAAGGUGGGGAUGACGUCAAGUCCUCAUGGCCUUUAUGACCAGGGCUACACACGUACUACAAUGGCAUAGACAAAGGGCAGCGACAUCGCGAGGUGAAGCGAAUCCCGUAAACUAUGUCCCAGUCCGGAUUGGAGUCUGCAACUCGACUCCAUGAAGUUGGAAUCGNUAGUAAUCGUGGAUCAGCAUGCCACGGUGAAUNCGUUCCUGUAANACGNCGGCCNAGUGAAUUGUAAUACGACUCGACUAUAGGGCGNAUUGAAUNNAGCGGCCGCGAAUUCGCCNUUCCUGACGCAGCGA